Molecule: microRNA precursor, 61 nt
Filed under: Lutzomyia longipalpis
Lineage: Eukaryota; Metazoa; Arthropoda; Insecta; Diptera; Psychodidae
Also listed under: 1 other name
Description: mir-9/mir-79 microRNA precursor family
Rfam family: mir-9/mir-79 microRNA precursor family
About the family: The mature ~21nt miRNAs are processed from hairpin precursor sequences represented here. miR-9 is processed from the 5' arm of its precursor, and miR-79 from the 3' arm.
Source: RNAcentral
CGCUUUGGCGCUUUAGCUGUAUGAUAGAUUUGCUAUUUCAUAAAGCUAGAUUACCAAAGCA